GGAGAGAUGGCUGAGUGGUUGAUAGCUCCGGUCUUGAAAACCGGUAUAGUUCUAGGAACUAUCGAG
Molecule: transfer RNA, 66 nt
Filed under: Aegilops bicornis
Lineage: Eukaryota; Viridiplantae; Streptophyta; Magnoliopsida; Poales; Poaceae
Description: partial tRNA-Ser
Rfam family: tRNA
About the family: Transfer RNA (tRNA) molecules are approximately 80 nucleotides in length. Their secondary structure includes four short double-helical elements and three loops (D, anti-codon, and T loops).
Source: RNAcentral